AUGUUUGAUACAAAGAAAAAAUUUAAGUAUGCGGUGAUAAAGUGGGCUAUGUCUACGCAGAGGGUUUUCCGGACACACAUAUCAAGUCCAACAAACUAUACCGUGAAAUGUGUUGAAACAAGUUGUCCUGGGAAGGUGCACGGGCACGUGCCGAAGUAUGACAUCCACUGGGUUGUCACCAUUGUCGUCCCACAUAAUUGUGUGAGGAAGAACCUACUGGUGAAGCAUCCGAACCUGACUUCAAGUCUCAUUGCGCAACUCAUGUAUACUGAGAUAGUAGAGAAGAAAGAUAUGGAAGCAAAACACAUCCAGACAGCAGUGAAGGUGAGAUGGAAUUAUGUCAUUCCUUAUGGGAAGGCUUGA
Molecule: ribosomal RNA, 363 nt
Filed under: Triticum aestivum (bread wheat)
Lineage: Eukaryota; Viridiplantae; Streptophyta; Magnoliopsida; Poales; Poaceae
Description: partial small subunit ribosomal RNA
Source: RNAcentral